CACGGUGACAUCUCGGCUGAAACACUUCACAUCCUGGUGAAUCCUAUGGUCCUUUACUACACCAGCUCACCUCCAGGAAUUCUCUGGGGAAGUCCUCAGUUCCAGUAGCUUCGCACACUUAAACUUCUGCCAAGGCUCGUUUCUUAUUGCACCCUCUGGCGGGCGUUUACUAGAUUCCUCGUAGAGCCAGUCCAGGCUUUCUGAGGGGUUAAAAAAGGCCCAGGCCACUCCCCUUGUUCAAGGUUCUGCAUGAAAAGGAGGAGGAAAUUGUGCCACAUUUUAAAUGUUUAGACGACUGGGAACUUGUAGGUGUUCAACAAAUACUUGUUGAAUAAAUACAAUAUUUUAGCACCGUUGUUGAUAAAAAAAAAAAAGACAAUGCAAUGUAAUUGUGCUAUUUGCAAAUGUGCUAUUUGCAGUUUAUAUAAAACUGUGAAUUCAGAGUGCACUGCAGGCUUUGCUUAGUGGCAUGCAUAUUUCAGGUUCUGUCACCCUGCGUGUACCUUCAUCUGGAGACAACUGCCAAUGGCCCUGCCCACCCUACUGGGGACGUAGAUUCUCCUUGGGUUGGGGCUGGGGCUGAGGCUGGGGCUUCAACGCCUGGUACACGGCAGGGGAUGUCACUAAGCGGCGAGUGGCUGCAGCUCUCCCCUUUCUCUACCCCUCUCCCAAGGAUCCGGGGUGGUGGCUUCCAUCGUUUGUCGCCGCCCCACCGGCAGGCGGCGCCCCUCCGGCCAGCCUCCCGGCGGGGUCGCGACGGGGCGUGCGUGUUUAAAGUCGGCCCUCCGCGGACGCCCGCGCUUCCUGGCGCCAGGCGGCUAGCUUGCCGCAGCUGGGGCUUCGGGCCGGACUCGCUGCCCCCGCCCUCCUCCUUUGAGCGCUCGGGGCGGAGCCGGGCGGGCGCGCGGGGCUCCCGCCCCUCUCUCGGCGGUCACCUGGGGCCGGGAGCAGCAGGUGUCUGGUCUGGCACCCAGCGCCGGGAACGCGGAGCGCACGCCGGAAACCGCUGCACUUCGGGUGGCCCUGGGAGGCGGCGGCCGGGGCCAACCCCCGAAUUCCGGAGGCGACCGCCAGGACCUAGCCCGCGGAGGAAGGUCCUGCGAGGAAACCGGCUCGCUCCGCCCCACCUUUUGCAAAAGACUCGGAGCUUGUUCACACUGGUAUGCCAGGUACCAAGAGUAAGAUCACCGAAGGCAGUAAAAUUGAAAUUGGAAGACUGUCAGCCAAGAAAGACCUACUAGAGGAAGCAGAGGAUGGAAAAUAAAGUGAAGCAGUGUUUUGUUGUGUGUAUUUCAGCAGGCCUUCUGCAGUUCAACUAAAAACAUGACUGCUCUUUCUUCCGGGAACUGCUCUUUUCAGUACCAGUUACGUCAAGCAAAUCGGUCCCUAGAUG
This 1393-nucleotide long non-coding RNA is filed under the name Panthera leo (lion). Its description in RNAcentral is "lncRNA (ENSPLOG00000011872.1)". The record is from RNAcentral. Lineage: Eukaryota; Metazoa; Chordata; Mammalia; Carnivora; Felidae.